Molecule: long non-coding RNA, 13998 nt
Filed under: Sorghum bicolor (sorghum)
Lineage: Eukaryota; Viridiplantae; Streptophyta; Magnoliopsida; Poales; Poaceae
Description: long non-coding RNA (SBIC_LNC003862)
Rfam family: MIR5565 microRNA precursor family (bases 13207-13315)
Source: RNAcentral
CAUGCUUCAAAUUUUCAAGGAGAAUCAAAGCCACCAAAUGUCUCACUCUCGAAAAAAGUGUUUCUAAGAGUUUACGGAAAUAAGGCAGCUCCAACUCCGAAGUUCGUCUUAACAUCAACUCAUACUAAACAUAAACAGUGAGACUAAUCACUCAGCUGCAGCAACCUCCUGUCCUCCCAUGGCCUCGUCGCCUUCAGCCGGCCUGUCCAUCUUGACACCAACAUCCUCCUUGGCAUAGUCACCGUGGACCUGGACAUCACAGAGGCCAUUAGCUCAAAAACCCACAAGACUUAAACUACAUGAACAGACAAACUUUGCUUCAAGUGGUUACCUCCAUGAGCUUUCCGAUGUCGAACUUUGGUGCUUUUAGGAUCUUCACCUUGCGGAUGAAGACAUUUUGCAAGGGGAAUAUGCUAGAGGUGGCUUUCUCGAUUUCCUUUCCAAUGACCUCAGGGAUGAACUUGGACACGAGUUCUUUCAGAUCACAAGUUGAAGCUUGGUUGCUCAUGAUUUCAGUCAUCUUCCGACGAAUCUGCAAAAACAGAAAUGGUGUUCAUAUGACAAACAAGCUAAGAGAGAUUCAAGCCUCUUUAAAACAUGAGAUAUCUUCAGAACUGUCACCUGUCUGAUUUGGCUUGCUUGAGCAUAGCAAGUGCGCUUCACUUGAUUGGGCCGCCUCUUGGUGAACCCAAUGCAGAACAGACGUAGCAUGUAGUUAUCGGUGGUCUUGACAUCAACAUGUGCCUCAAUAAGCGUCUGCCAUUUCUUCACCAGUGAACGGAGCUUGUCGGUAGUGAAGCUCAUACCCUAACAAGGUAACAAGAUGGUUAAAGACACAAUAUAGAACAUAGGUCUCGUAACAGUGUGAAGUGAACUAGAGAUCAUUACCCAGAAGUUUGUGAGAACAUUUCUCCCUUGUAUAUCCUCUGCACGAAGUCUGAUCUUCCUGUACGCCUGGUCUUCAUCACUCUGAAGAUCAGCCAAGGAGACCUCAAAUACUCUGUGCUUUAAACCCUCAGAUGCAAUCUGAAAACAAACAGAAGAAACUGAGUUACAUGCAGUCAUGGAAUCACAAAAAAGGAUAAAACAGAUACUUUGAAUUGAUUAACUGAAGAUUCCGAUAAAGCUACAAAGGAACCAACUGGGUCAUCGAAGAUUACUAGUCCUCAACUCAAGUCUAGAACACAUUCCAAUAAUUCGGUCCAACAAAUGAUCUAUAUCUUAGAAAGUCAACAUAAAACAUUUUUAAAGCUACCUAAAAAAAUAAUUGAUUCUUUGUUAGAAUAGUGAUACAAAGAGAAAACAGACCAAAGAGUAAAUAACCACAGGGCUUCUAACUUAUCAUAUGAACAAAAAACAAAUGUGACAUCCUACAGAGGUCUCAUCUUACAGAGCAAAUACUACACAGCAAGGUCUGAGUGAAAUAGUACUACUGUAAAUUGGAACAAUGUCUAAAUCAAAAUUACCGCUAGAAAUGCCAUAUACACUUGGUUGUUGGUAUAAUUUCACAGCAGUGAAGUCAAGAUACAUGUAUCAGUGCAACCAUUCUGGCAUACAAAUUUAUAUAGCACUGCACAAGAUCAAGAAAAGGUCUAACCUGACUGAAAAAGUGCCCUGAUAAAUGGAUGGAUAUGUAAGGUUCAGCAAUAUGUCUCAGCAACUAAUCAAUCACUACUUCACCACAAUACACGAAGGCGAUAGUACGAUACCCAAACAGAGUGAGAAGGUGAAGAGUGCGCAUACCUUGGUGCCCUGUGUCCUGGAGACCAGGGUCUUGCCGAUGUCGCGCACACUGAAGACCGACGGAGCCUUGAUAUCAUACCAAUCCUUUUUGCUGAACGGAUCCACGCUGCAAGGCAAGAGAAACAGACACCAAGAAAACGGGUCAGCCGGCCAGAGGAGGCCAAAGAACAGCUGAAAACGAGUGCCAUGCAUCAUUAAGUUCAGUACAGCCAAAAAGGAUUUUAAAGUGGCCAAAAACAUCAGAACUUAGCUUAUAUACAUCGACACCAGAUGCAGUGAAAUUCGAGGGACAAUUUCAGAUUAGAAUGGGUGUAACGAUGGAUAAAAUUCAGCAGUUCUGUACUAUCCUUCAGGUAGUCACAAUCAAAAGUUGCUGCACCCAACCCGACACAACUAAGAAAAAUUAACUAUCAAGCAGUUGCCUCCCUUCUUGCCCUUGGAGAUACGCUUAUUCUUGCCUCCCUUCAAUCAAAAGUUGCAGACGGAAGAGGAUAAGGGGGGCGAGAUAACUCACGUCUUCUUCUUGCCUCCCUUCUUGCCCUUGGAGAUACGCUUAUUCUUGCCUACCGCCAUUGCUGCUGCGAGAACUCGUCGCUGCGUCCGUGCAGCGGCGAGGGGAGCGGAGCGGGGCGGCGCGCUGGUUGCGGGUGCGCUAGGUUUUGGAGGGCCACCGGCUGCCCUGCGCUUUUAUACGGGGGGACGGGGUGCAGGCCAACGGGCCGAUUUGCAGGCCCCAACGGCCGAGGAGCGGGGGGUGUCGCCUGGCCCGCUAACGGCAUUCUAUGGGGCGGGCCUUAGCGGGUCAAGGGCGUUAUCAGGCCGUGCUCGUGCCGGGGGUGCGUCCCAAGCACGGCACUACUAUGCGGGCCGGUCCGGCACGGGCACGAGUGAGUUCAGACGCAUGGCCCAAGGCCUGAUGUUCUUGUUCUCCAUCCCCUGUGCCCCUGUCCAGUUCCUCCCAAAAUCCAGCAUGAGGCCAGGAUGAUUUUGAUAUACUCUCUAUACCUUUAAAAAAAAUCGUUUUAAACAAAAUUUUUAAGUUAAAUAUUAAAAAUAUCAAUUAUGAAUAACUUUUAAGUUAUUAAAUUUUAAAAUUUAAUAACUAUAUGAAUAGAUUUUUUAAAAAAAUACUUUCAUAAAAAUAUACAUAUAGCACUUUGGAAUAAAUAUUUUAUAAAAACAGUUAAAGUUAGGCUUUAGGACCGUGUCAGCCCGUCCGGCGUGAAUGGGCGAGCAUCAGCUGCUCGGGGUGAAGGGAUCCACUAGCGCGUAAUGUAAGUUUGUAACAUGAAUGUUCCUAAAACAUAAGCUUGCGACAGAUCAACCAGGCAUAGCAAGGAAACAUAACUUUCAAGCAAAAAUAAAGCCACCACAGAUCCAGAUCUCGACCAAAAAAAGUGUUUCAAGGUAACACGACAGCUUUAAAUGAGAAAUCCAUCGGUUGGAGUUACUUUAAAAAAAUGUAAAAAUAGCCUAGAUAAUAUGGAUAAGAUAUCUGUUGGAGUUUCUCUUAAACCUAUAGACAUAUAAACAGCAAUACUAUCACUCGGAUGCAGCAACCUCAUGUCCCCCCAUUGCCAAGUCGCCUUCUGCGGGCCUUUCAAUAUGAACACCAACGUCAUCCUUGGCGUAGUCACCAUGCACCUUGUAAGUGCAAUCAAGCCUAUUGUGGUUUUGGCGUUGAUGACCACCUAAUUAGGGAACUAAUGAGUUUUGCUGAGAUGACAAGCAGGGAAUAUAGCAAAGAGGUUGUUAAAUACCAUGGAGGAUCCCCCAUUUCUAAAGGAUGGCUUUCCUAGCUCCAAAGGAGGUUUAAUUUAUUUUCGGUUUGAAUUUGAGUAUAAGAAAAGCCGUACUAUAAAGAGGGACUCCAAGUUUGUUGAUCAAAUUGUGAACCAAAGGCUCAAAAGCUCAUCAACAUCCUCAGACCCAAGCCUAGCCAGCAUAUCUUUCUCUCUACACUUUGGUGUUUUCAGGCUGGUUCAGGCAAGGGCGGCACUGCCGCCCUACACUGUGACAGUUGGAGAGCUGGGUAUAAAUACCCUUCCAGACCGUCUCAAACGGUAACCUGCUCUUCUUCCUCGCUCCCAACCGUUGCAAACAGACCAGAGCUCACCUCUCUCUCCCUCCAUUGUUGCUCCUCAAGCCCCCAAGCCAAUCCUUGUUUCCAACCAUCAAAACUUAAGGGAAAAGGCAGCAAACUUCGAUUGGAGAGCAGAUCCAUUGAUUCCCAGCGUCAAAAAGAGCUUUUGGUUCACGUUUGGCCGGCAGCCUUGAGUUUGUUACUCUUGGAGCUUGCUCCUAGCCGGCUAGGCGUCGCCCUAGAGCUUGCCAACUUGUGUGGCAGCCAAGGGAAGGUUUGUAAGGUUACCCUUGCAGCUAAUACAUUCUUCACUCUUUGCAAGGGGUAAAAUCCUUGCUUUGAGAACGAGGAGAAGGUAAGCCUGUGUGGCUAAGCCGGUCCUAGUGUGGGCGCCUCAACAACGUGGAGUAGGCCAAGCCUUGUUGUGGCAACAGCUGAACCACGGUAAAAAUCGUGUGUCUUGUGUGCUUUCACUUGUGUAUGAGUUUGUGUUAGGAUUUGAGGCCGAUCUACUUGGUGGGGAGGCUCCAGCACAUUCUAGCCACAUACCUGUGCUCUAACAUUUUGCAGGAAGCUUGGAAAUUUAGUCGAUCUAAAUUUCCCUGGGUAAAGUUUGAAUCAAUUCAGUUAAGCUUCUGUCUGUUUUUCUGUUGAGGCCGGCAGUGCCGCCCUGGGAGGGCCUCACUGCCGCCCUUGCCUGUGUGACUGAUAAACUUUGUUGAAAAAGUUUGAACAGGCCUAUUCACCCCCCCUCUAGGCCACUUCCUGUACGUCCAGAGAUCCUACACACCUGGGAGUCACACAACAUUAUUAGAUUAAAAAGAAAGGCACAAUGCUAAACUACUGUAACAUAGAAACUUUGCUUCAAGUAGUUACCUCCAUUAGUUUUCCAAUGUCAAAUUUUGGCGCCUUCAGAAUCUUCACCUUGCGGAUGAAGACAUUCUGUAAAGGAAAGAUGCUAGAGGUGGCUUUCUCAAUUUCCUUUCCAAUGACCUCAGGGAUGAACUUGGACACAAGCUCUUUAAGAUCACAAGAUGAAGCUUGGUUACUCAUGAUUUCGGUCAUCUUCCUUCGAAUCUGCAAAACAUAAAUGGUAUCAAUGUAACAAGACACAGCAGGCAAGCUAAGAGAGUUUCAAGCCUCUUUAUAAACAUAUCUCCAGAACGGUUACCUAUCUGAUUUGGCUUGCCUGAGCAUAGCAAGUGCGCUUCACUUGAUUGGGCCGCCUCUUGGUGAACCCAAUACAGAACAGCCGCAGCAUGUAGUUAUCAGCGGUCUUGACAUCGACAUGAGCCUCGAUAAGUGUCUGCCACUUCUUCACGAGGGAGCGGAGCUUGUCAAUAGUGAAACUCAUUCCCUAACAAGAUGACAAGGACGGUUAGAGACGUGAACAUAAGCCUGGUAACUGUGUGAACUAAACAAGAAAUCGUUACCCAGAAGUUUGUGAGAACAUUUCUCCCUUGUACAUCUUCUGCACGAAGCCUGAUCUUCAUGUAUGCCUGGUCUUCAUCACUCUGGAGAUCAGCUAAGGAGGCCUCAAACACUCUGUUCUUAAGACCCUCAGAGGCAAUCUGCAAAACAAACAAAAGAAAUUCAGAUGGAGGGAACUAUAAUAUCGCAUAUACAAAUUUAAACUGAGUACUAUAAACAGAAAAUUCUAAUAGAACUACAAAGGAACUAAAAUAGGUGCAUAAGAUUACUGUUCCUCAGACCUAGUUACAAUCCCUAGAUAAAUGACAUAUGAUAUGGAUGGGCCAGUGGCAAGCUCCCAAGGGUGGGAAGUAGCCGGUGGGGGUUUGAAACCCAGCACCACACCUGGCCCCAAGGAAGGCUGCGCCAAGGUGGCGCUGUUAAGAAAAAUGACAUGAUCUAUAUCUUAAGAAGGCAAGAAAAAGUCGUGGUAAAGUUCUGUAACCAAAUAAUAGCACGUGUAUAGGGAUGCAUAUAGAAACCACUCCAAUCAGUGCAUAAUCAGCAGCAUUUAAAAUAAAAGAAGCUUAUGGCCUUCAGCCCAACUUAUCUGAACAUGCUACAAACAGUUAAUCAAAAAGCACACAGGGCAUUAGGAAUGAAGAUGGUGCUUAUAUAAACACCAAAGAAUUCAAUACUAAUGCUUCCAAGUUGCAACCCAUAUCUAAACCUGAAAACCUAAGAUAAUCCCAUCCUACUGGCCAAAAUUCUACACAGCAAAGGUUAUGUGGUACUACUGUGUAUCAGGAACGACAUCUAAAUCAAAUGUAUCAUAUAAAAAUCCAUAUAAACUUGGUACUGGUAUAAUUUUACUUGAAUUGAGUCAACAUGCAAGUCAAAUCAUACAAUGCAUGGACAGGACAUAGACAACAUCACCCGCACCUGCACGAACCGUAAAAACCUACAAAUGUCACAUCUCACACAUACUGCACAGGCCAAUAAAAGGUCUAACCUAACUGAACAACUACCCCAACAAAUGGAUUGGUUACAGUUCAACUACACAUCUCAUGGACUAAAGUAGGCACUAGUUUAUCACUGUACACGAAGGCAACAAUUAGAUUCACAAACAGAGCGAUCAUGCAGGAGAAGAGGAGCGGGCAUACCUUAGUCCCCUGUGUCCUGGACACCAGAGUCUUGCCGAUGUUGCGCACGCUGAACACCGACGGAGCCUUGAUAUCAUACCAAUCCUUUUUGCUGAACGGAUCCACCCUGCAAGCCAAGAUACACAGGUGGGUCAGCACCGCUCAGAGGAGGCCAAAAAACCAACUCCGUAGAACGGAAGAAUGACGCCGGGAGCGAGACAACUCACGUCUUUUUCUUGCCGCCUUUUUUGCUCUUCGAGAUACUUUUGUUCUUGCCAACAGCAUGGCUGUUGCGCCCGUCCGCGGACGCUGGGGCGGCUAGGGCUUAGAGCGACGGCGAUGCGAGCGAGAGGAUACCAGAGAGGCACAGAGCGGCGCGGCGGCAGCGGCGGCGGCGGGGCCUGUUAUAUGAGGACGGGGGACGGGGGCGCUGGCCGCUGGGUGGGCUGGAUGCGGGGGCCGGCCGGCCGGCGGAGGGAGCUGUUGGUGGGUCGGGCUGCCACCGGGCCUACUAUUGUAGUGGGGUAAGGCCCAAGCACGGCCUGCUCCUCCGGGCCGGGCCAACCCGUUUGAGCGAAUCGAUAAAAUAAAGGCCUGGUAGAGCCUGAAUCCCUCUACAAACAAACUGCGGCCCGUCGACUGAGUCGUGAACUCGUGACGGCUCCCUCUGACAUUUCUGGUUCAGAUGAAAAUUUGGCCUCUGCAGUCUGCACACUGAAUUCCUUUCCCGUCUUUGAUUUCUCUUUUUUUCUGAUAAUAAGGAAAACUUUAUUAAUUUCACAUUGGUCUGUAACCUGAAUUUCGGCUAAGCUGAAUUGCUUGAUGGUCAUGGUAACCAUUGUGCAAAGGUUAGCAGUAGCACUGAUGAUCGAAGGGUUUCCCAACUCUCAUCUUUGCGCAGUUCCUUGGCUUGGUCGUCAGGCUAUGAUCUGCGCCUUGGUAACUGAGCUGAGAUUCUGGCCUUGUUUAGUUCACCCCAAAAACAAAAAACUUUUUAAGAUUAUCCAUUACAUCAAAUCUUGCGACACAUGCAUGAAGCAAUAAAUAUAUACGAAAAUAAAAACGAAAGUGUUAUUCACGAGAUGGAUCUUUUAAGACUAGUUACUCUAUAAUUAUACAAUGUUUGUCAAAUAAAAACGAAAGUGUUACAGUUUCGAAAACCAAAAAGUUUUCGGAACUAAACAAGGCCUCUGUAGUAGGAAACUGAUCUUGCCAAUCACAGAUGCAGCUUUAGAUUUUUUUUUUCUUCUUUCAUUUUUUUCCCUAUAAAACUUGCUCGAUCUGUUGUAUCCCCGUCCACAAAUCGUAUAAACCUUAUAUACCAGCUGAGCAUCGAUUCAGUGUAUGGCCUAUUGGCUUACCCAGGAACAGUCAUCUGGAAUAAUUUCUAGCCGGAACGGUAGUCUAAUCUUAUUUUGUACUCCUAUAAAGUUAAACUCUACUAACUAUUUCUCUCAACAUAUAAGUUAUUCAAUUAAGUAACCUACUAUCACACACAAUUAAAAAUCCACUAGCUCAUUCAAUUAUAGUAUCUACAUCAACAAGUCAUUAUAUUUUUUUUUAACAUGUAAACUGUCCAACUAAGCAAUGUACUAUCACACACAACUAAAAUCCACUGGCCAUACAGUUGUAAUGUCCAUAUCAGCAGGACACAUAGGUAUUUUAUUUGUUCGCGUCAUCAUGCCACGUAAACCACUGCAUUCCCGCAGUAAUGCUUAGCGGGAAUAAAUCCGAGCCUCAUUCCACUAGUCAUACAGUUUAUAUAAGAUUGAUUAGCGGGAAUAAAUCCGAGCCUCAUUCCAAACUAACCGAACAGGGCUGAUCUUGUGUUGUGUCCAAAGCUUAUGUUGUUCCAUCCGAAUAAGAUAGGCAACUGCACCAAAGCUUGUGUUGUUCCAUCUGAAAUUUCCAUCUUGAUCGAAACGGUCAAGCUCCACCAUGUGUGUGCCGACUGCAGAAGCCAAGAAGGCCGGCCCGGGCGUACGUAACCAUGCGAGGCCAGCAGGACCCUGUAAGCGUAAGCAAAGCACACAAGCGACGCAUUGAUGCUGCAGCUGCCAGUAAAGGCGCGGGGAAAACGACGGCACCUGACGGAGGAAGACCGGUGCUUUUGCAUGGCCUGAGCAGCAGCUGCACGAACAAAGCCGGAUGUUCCCCCUUCAUCAGCUCGACUGGAAUCGAACUGUUUAGUCACAAACGCACACGCUUAGCUCUGGCAAGUAGUACUGCUGCUUGCUGAACAUGAUCAUGUAGACCACCAUAUGAAUGAUAAUCGGUUCUUUCUUUUGCUUUUUCUUGUGUUUUAUUACUUCUGAUUCUGAGUUACCAGGAUGAUUAUGUAAGAACUUAUUGCAUUCUCUUCUUCUUAAAUGACAUGGCAGUGCCCCUGCUGAUUUCUUUUUAAACAAUUACACAUCUUGAUAAUUCAUAUAUAUAAAUCGGCACGUAUAUAUAGGUAGCAAACAGGUUACAGCUUUGCAAGAUGCGUUCCACACGCAGAUCAGCAUGUCAUGUACAGCAGCAUGUUGCGUUGCGUCCCGUGCGUGUCAAGAAGGCAAAGCGCGCUCAGCGAGACCGCGCCGGACGGCCCGGCCGUGGACGCGCAUGCUCCGAACCGCGGCUCGCGGGACUCCAUCCGUAAUUCAUUCCAAGUAUAUUGAGUAUAUUGGAGAUUCAAACUUUUUUAAGUUUAACCAAAUUUAUAUUAUAAAAUAAUAAUUAUUAUGAUACCAACUAAGUAUUAUUAGAUUUUUUUCUUAAUUAUAUUUUCAUAGUAUAUUCACUUUACGUUACAAAUCUUAGUAUUUUUCGCUAUAAUUUUGGUCAAACGCGAAAAUGCUUUGACUCUCCAAAAUUCAUGAAAUGACUUACAAUUUAGGAUGAAGAGAGUAUCUGCGUGCGCCUCCCCGCCGCUCCCCGUGCAAAGCACGAUCGGAGCCGGACGGUUUGAAGACCACUAGUGGUGAUUGGGGCCGCGAGAGCGAUCGAGACGCAGCCGCAGCUUGUGCCGAGCGCGCGAGCGCUGCCAGUGGCCGCGCGCACGCACACGCACCUCAGCACCGUGGCCGUGGUGGAGGGAGCAGCGAGCGACGUGCUGGCAGGACACGCGCGCUUCUCUCUGUCUCCCCGCUCCCGCUUCACAGUACGUAGCAAGCAAUGGAUGGGCGACUUCAGCACUGCUGACCCUGGGUCCUCACUUGGAGUUCAAAAGCUCUCCCUGUUUUUUGAGCAUUUUAAAUUCAACCAUUACCUCCAGCAACAGCCACUACAUCCUAGCCCUUGAAUUCAUAGGGUCCACUCGCCAUUAGGUCUUUUCUUCUCCAUUUCUCCUUCAUGCAUCCAUGGAGAGACUCCUUUAUCUACAUCACGCGUACAUCGUCCUUCGUGGCUCCGUGUGUUUUUGUCGGCAUCGAAGAGGGAGAAGAGGGGGGCAUGAGCUCAUGGUCACCCCUUGGAAAGAGGUGUACGCCAAGGAGGAGCUGUUGGGACGGGGAGGGCUAACCUAAUCUCGACGUAUAACAUUCUCCGACCUCUUACCUAAGAGAGGUUGGAUCUUUGGUUUCCAACUUUGAAACCUGAUACACAUAAAUCUUUUUUCUAUAGUAGAGGUCUCAACUCAACAAUCUCUUAUAUGGAUUGAGCAUAUUGAUCUGGCUCUCGUUUUUUUUGAUACCAUUUGUUGAACAUCAUGCUAACAUUAGUUGGGCAUCUACCCACCCACACCUACAAAAUCCACAAGAUAAGGCGGGAUUCGGGAAUUGACCUGCUACAGAGCACGAGCGUCACAGGGAUCGCGGUACGAUGCCGCGUUCCCCGUUCCCGGAACUUUCGUUCCGGAACGCGGAACGGGAACGACGCGGUACAGUCGCAGGAACGUGCCUGGGUCGUGAAUGGGGACGGCGUACCAAAAUGAACCGGAUGAAGAGAAAAAGAGAAGGGGACGGCGUACCAGCAACGGCGGCGGCGGCGGCGUAGCCUCCCGACGUCGGACGGCGGCGAGGACGCUGGGGUCGAGCGGCGCGGCCUCCCCACAUCAACCGGCGGCGGCGAGUCCUCUCUCCGUCGGCCGCCAGCGGCAGCGCUGAGGUGGAGCGGCGUGGCGUCUCAGGAAGUCAGGAGGCAGCGUCGAUUCGGCGGCGGCGGCGCUGGGACUGGGAGCGCCUUCGACUGAUGAUGAUGUCUUCACUGUCUUCACUCACACGUGAACGUCAAAUAAUGGCAGCAAAAAUGUUCUAAAAAACAGAGAAAAUGGCAAAAAAAAGGUGAAAAUGACAAAAUAAAAAUAGAUUCAACCUCUGGACCCCUUUCACAGGAGCUGAGUAGAAUACCAUUACAUCAAGGAAUCGUAUAUGCUAAGUGCAACUGGAAAAUAUAUUUUUUUAAUAAAGGAAAUUGAUAUUUCUGGCUCCUACGUCAUCUGAGUACACUGGAUCAACUGAAACAAAACUGAUAAAAAAAUUACAUCUCCGAUAAGGAACUAUGACUUGCACUGGUAAGACCACCAAGUCGCUAAUCGACAUCAAGACACGUCUACCAGACCUAGAGGAUACUGAAAGAACAUAGGACGCCGACCGCUGUGGGGGUAUAAACCCCUAUACCCUUACGGCUAGACUUGGGCCAGGAGGCUUGGCCCAUUACGAGACGAGUUCAAGGCUUGAUUCGACAGCUUGGAGUUUUGCGCAAGGAAACAAGAUGUGGAGAUCAAGCAGGAUUCUAGUCGGUUAGAAUAGGAAUUGAUAUCGAAUUAUCCAUGGCAAUUGUAACCGACUAGGAUUAGUUUCUAGAUCUGUAACCCUGCCCUCCAGACUAUAUAAGGAGGGGCAAGGGACCCCCCUAGGACAGAUUAUCUCUCAACACAAUCCAAUACAACCAGACGCAGGACGUAGGUAUUACGCCAACUCGGCGGCCGAACCUGGAUAAAAAGCUUGUCCGUGUCUUGCGUCACCAUCGAGUUCGUAGUUUGCGCACCGUCUACCGAUAAACUACUACCGUGGGUAUACCCCAAGGUAGACUGCCGACCAGCUUUCAUCGACAACCGCCAUUGGAGAUUUUACUUAACUGGGAUAUAUAUAUGAAGAAUAAAAACUGUUGUAUGUUUUUGUUUACAAAGUUUUUUAAAGUUUAAUAUUAUAGUGCACGUACACACAUAUUCUACUAAAUUCAUCAAAAACACCGUGGAGCCAGGAUACAAGUAUAUGACGACAAUAAUGCAUGGCGAAAUACAUUGACUAAAUAAAAUAUUUGUGUUAUUAUAAUAAAACGAAAAAUGAGAACAAAAAUAUGGCAAAGAACAAAGGAGAAGGAGAAAAUAAUAGGAAGACUAAUUCUUAACUGUAUAGGAUGAUUAGCAAUAGCGGAGUUGGGGAACUUUCACGACUAGUUCAUAUGCUAAUGGACAAAAGUAAUCAUAGUAUAUAGGUACUAUGAUAGAAUAUAUCUUGAAAAGGAAGCUCCUGGGGGCAUUCAUAGGAAACCACCAAAUGAAGAUUUAGAGGUUAUGGAAGGGGUAAUGGAAGCUUUACGUCGAAUAGCGGAUUCAGACAUGAGUAUGCAAUUUUAUGUGAGCAAUUUAAUGAUUUUGUUAUGAGGAGGGGAAUGUUUGCACUUUCCUACUGUUAAACUUGAUGCGGGCACAAUGGAUCGAAUUAAAUGGUGGUUCACUAUGGUGCCCAGGCCCCAAAUUUGGCAGCGGUGGCAACGAGAGUUAUUUCCCAACCUAUCAGCAGUUCAUCAGCAGAGAGACUUUGGAGUACCUACGGAUACAUCCAAAGCGCAAAGAGGAACAAGCUGAAUAUAAAGGAAUUGGUAUACCAGCUCCUGUGAAAUUCACUCGACAUACACAGAGCAAGUCAUAGUACGUGGAAAGCAACUAAAACAAGAACCAUGUCAAAAGAAUAUACAAGCAAGCAUGGUAUCUAUGGUAUCUGCAGCAUUGCAGAAGCCUUAUAGCACCAUUGCACUACUGACAGCAAGCAAACCAUUUGGCCAUUCGGCACAGACCUGAUACGGCCAUCUGAAUUCGUAGCAAAUAAUUAAAUAGAAACUGGAAACAUGGAAAGUGACAUGAAAGAAAACACUUUUUUAAUUCAAUGAUAAUUGUUUAUCAGCAAUGAUAGCAUAAGAAUCGUCAUAUUAACUACCGGAAGAAUAUAGAUGCCUUUCAUAUUGGAGAAAGAGGAACAAAACUUACCACCUUUGAUAUUGUGGGAAUAUGAGUCAAUAAUAAUGGGCUAGCCAUCUCAACACAGUAGCAGUCGAUGUUGAUAAUGUAGGCUUACUAGAUAGGAUCUACCAAGGGAAGGCAGUGAACAUCUCUCAAAAUAAUUGACAUCUACCAAGAGUAGAGAGGCAAUUGACAUUGGUGUUUUACAUAUCCAUGAGGAGCGACCUGCAGCGUGCCAUGACUGCUAUGCUAUAAAUGGAACCCAGAAAAAAAAAGGCAAAUACAAUGCGACAUCCAACAGUAACAUCGUUAGAUCAAAUGGGCAAAUAAAUGAACUCCUUGGAUUAAAUGACUGCUAUAGCUUGGUGCUGAAUAGCAAUGAGCAGAGCAAUUCGGCCCAUUGAUCGAAACACAGUGCAUGCACAACAUUUGAGCAUAAAACUGUCAAUGCUGGCACAACAUUUUUCUAGAAUUGACAUAAAAAUACAAUAGAUCCCAAAAAAAAUUGCCAAGAGAACAUUUCUUUCUAUCAUUUAUAUACCGCAUGAGAAAACAUGUUGCUGUUCUUGGAUAAUGCAUAGGAUCUCGUGGUUCGGCGAACCUUAGUUUUUAGCUCUCCUUUCUGAUCAUACUUGAGGCCAAACAAGCUAAGGCCUUGUUUGGAUGUUGUUGGAUUCGCAUCAAUCCACAUGUGUUGGGGUGGAUUGAAGUGAAACUUGAACUAAAUUCCACUUUAAUCCACUCCAACACAUGUGGAUUGAGGGGAAUCCGACAACAUGCAAACAAGGCCUAAGGUGAGAUGGAUCACAGAGCCAUCUUGAAAAUCCUGACCACACAAAAUGUCCUCCACAUCACAGCAGCAAACGUGAUCCUCCUUGUGGUGAAGCCCAACCCAUGCGUCCAGGUCCGCAUCGUAGUACGCCUGAUUCCAUCAAGCGGCACUGGCAGGCUAUGGCUAUGGCUGUUCAGGACCAGUCCAUAGACGGACCACCGCAUGGCUUUUCCACCUCGGUGCCGAAGGCCAUAGAGCAAACUGUGCAGCAGAGUCGGAACAAGAAAUAAAUUCGAUUCCAAGUCGGUUCGGCUUGACUCUUAGAGAAAAGGAAUGAGAACGAGCUCUUCAGUCUAGAGCAGCAAGAACGCAAUGCAUGCUCCAAAAACAUAAGUUUGCCCAAAUAACGGUGAUCAAACUGACGUCGCAAGAUAACAUUUUUCCAUGCUUCAAAUUUUCAAGGAGAAUCAAAGCCACCAAAUGUCUCACUCUCGAAAAAAGUGUUCCUAAGAGUUUACGGAAAUAAGGCAGCUCCAACUCCGAAGUUUGUCUUAACAUCAACUCAUACUAAACAUAAACAGUGAGACUAAUCACUCAGCUGCAGCAACCUCCUGUCCUCCCAUGGCCUCGUCGCCUUCAGCUGGCCUGUCCAUCUUGACACCAACAUCCUCCUUGGCAUAGUCAC